UGGGGAAUAUUGCACAAUGGGCGCAAGCCUGAUGCAGCCAUGCCGCGUGUAUGAAGAAGGCCUUCGGGUUGUAAAGUACUUUCAGCGGGGAGGAAGGGAGUAAAGUUAAUACCUUUGCUCAUUGACGUUACCCGCAGAAGAAGCACCGGCUAACUCCGUGCCAGCAGCCGCGGUAAUACGGAGGGUGCAAGCGUUAAUCGGAAUUACUGGGCGUAAAGCGCACGCAGGCGGUUUGUUAAGUCAGAUGUGAAAUCCCCGGGCUCAAACUGGGAACUGCAUCUGAUACUGGCAAGCUUGAGGCUCGUAGAGGGGGGUAGAAUUCCAGGUGUAGCGGUGAAAUGCGUAGAGAUCUGGAGGAAUACCGGUGGCGAAGGUGGCCCCCUGGACGAAGACUGACGCUCAGGUGCGAAAGCGUGGGGAGCAAACAGG
RNAcentral lists this ribosomal RNA (429 nucleotides) under Chloroflexota bacterium. Its description in RNAcentral is "Chloroflexi bacterium partial 16S ribosomal RNA". It matches the Rfam family "Bacterial small subunit ribosomal RNA", at positions 355 to 776 of the family's 1533-position model. The record is from RNAcentral. Lineage: Bacteria; Bacillati; Chloroflexota.